Molecule: ribosomal RNA, 679 nt
Filed under: soil fungal sp. DM2-434
Lineage: Eukaryota; Fungi
Description: eukaryotic LSU rRNA
Rfam family: Eukaryotic large subunit ribosomal RNA
Source: RNAcentral
CGAGUUCCCUGGAACGGGACGCCGGAGAGGGUGAGAGCCCCGUACAGGCGGACGCCGAGCCUCUGUGAAACUCCUUCGACGAGUCGAGUAGUUUGGGAAUGCUGCUCAAAGCGGGNGGUAAAUUUCUUCUAAAGCUAAAUAUAGGCCAGAGACCGAUAGCGCACAAGUAGAGUGAUCGAAAGAUGAAAAGCACUUUGAAAAGAGGGUUAAAAAGCACGUGAAAUUGUUGAAAGGGAAGCGCCUGUGACCAGACUCGCGCCCGGCGUAUCAUCCGGCGUUCUCGCCGGUGCACUACGCCGGGCUCGGGCCAGCAUCGGUUCUGGUGGGGGGAUAAAGGCGGCGGGGAUGUGGCUCCCCCGGGAGUGUUAUAGCCCGCCGCUCAAUGCCCUCGCCGGGACCGAGGACCGCGCAUUGCAAGGAUGCUGGCGUAAUGGUCACCAGCGACCCGUCUUGAAACACGGACCAAGGAGUCAAGCAUUAGGGCGAGUGUUUGGGUGUAAAACCCGCACGCGAAAUGAAAGUGAACGUAGGUGGGAGCCUCGGCGCACCAUCGACCGAUCCUGAUGUCUUCGGAUGGAUUUGAGUAAGAGCCUUAACGCUUGGNCCCGAAAGAUGGUGAACUAUGCUUGUGUAGGGUGAAGCCAGAGGAAACUCUGGUGGANGCUCGCAGCGGUUCUGA